UACGGAGGGGGCUAGCGUUGUUCGGAAUUACUGGGCGUAAAGAGUGUGUAGGCGGUUCUGCAAGUUUGGUGUGAAAUCUCCCGGCUUAACUGGGAGGGUGCGCCGAAAACUGCAAAGCUAGAGUUCUGGAGAGGGUCGUGGAAUUCCCGGUGUAGCGGUGAAAUGCGUAGAGAUCGGGAGGAACACCAGAGGCGAAGGCGGCGACCUGGACAGAUACUGACACUCAACUGCGAAAGCGUGGGGAGCAAACAGG
Molecule: ribosomal RNA, 253 nt
Filed under: uncultured bacterium
Lineage: Bacteria
Description: partial 16S ribosomal RNA
Rfam family: Bacterial small subunit ribosomal RNA
Source: RNAcentral